CAGCCCUUGAGGAGUCCGGCGCUUGCUUGGCUGCCACAUGAAAGUCAGUGCGGGGGGGCAUCAUGCUUAAGUCUUUCUCAGCUUGACCUCUCUUUGCAGAAACCAGGCUCUGUGUUCUGAGGGGUAGAUCAGGAAGGGAAUGUGAUAUGUAAUGAGUCAUGGUGUGUCGCAGUGGAUAGCACAGUUUCGAAUAAGUGCAAUAUUGGCAUAUAAACAUGAGGGAGACUUUGAGGUUGGGGUGAGCAGGGCUGACCCCGUGUGUGUGUGUGUGUGUGUGUGUGUGUGUGUGUGUGUAUGUGUAACUUGGGGACAGGAUAGGGUAGCAUCUUUACAUCUUUACAUGUCAUUGGCCUGGAAUAGGGGGUCCUGAAGGGUUUGUCGUAAGAAAGAGAAAGUGCUCAUUGCUGCAAGGGGAGCACAGCCGGGUUCUGAGAGGCAAAACACUUCCCUCACUUCCCACCCAAGAGUUUCGCCUGUUCUCUCGACCCUCUGAGGUGUGCAUUGGUGUCACUCACUGGCCACCAUUCCAGCUCUUAAUUCCUCUGCCUUUUGUGCUGGCCUUUGGGGCUCCCCUGAGGAUGACUGGUUCUCAGGUUGCCCCUGGAGGAAUGGGUGGAGUUGUAAGAUCAGGAAUAAAGCUAGAGAGGGAGGACCAAGGGGAAGUCACUGAUGCAGCCGCCGUCUAGCCCAUCCCACCCCGAUUGAGAGGUCGCUUUUUCCUGUUGAACAUGUUGGAUAGUGGAAUGUGUUAUAAGAAGUGAUAUGUGUGGCUUCUUGUCAUUGCAGGAUUGUCAGCUGACCUCUGUCCUGUGUGCCCAGUGGCCCCAGGUGACGUGUCUUCAAGAAGAGGCUGAGCUGCGGUGCUUGUAAGAGUCAUGUGCUGUUCCUGGGGCUUGGAUGAUGUAGGGGAAGCAAGGUGAAAGUGGUAUCCCGUGGUUCCACGUUCUGUCCUGCUGUGGGGCUGUCCCUCACAUGCUUUCAGUGGCUGUUGCAGAGGAAGAGCCUCCGGAAAUCUGCGUGGGUAAAGUCUCAGCCUUAGAUCCAAGGACAGUCCAAGGAAGUCCUAAGACCAUGGAGUUGGUGAUCUGGGAUCUGGGUUUGCUGAUAUUUCUCACCGUGAAUCUCUUGGUGGUGUUUGUGGGCACGAGAGGGGCAGAGAAUGGAGAGUGAGGCUACCACAUGAAGCGUCACCAGAGCUGCUCCCUGCUGCCUGCUCAGAGCACCCCGGAUCCACUGUUCAAUCUGCACAAGAUUCGGGGUCCAGACAUGGGAGACUUCAGCUGCCUCAGAGGACCGUGGACAGGGAAGGCCAGCCUCGCAUCCCUCUGUCCAUGCCUGGAAUGACUUUAAUAACCAAGAGUUUUAUUUUUGAAUUUGUAGCUGUCGUUCACUUUUUACCCACCCAUUCAAUAAACCUUACAGAAUUGCUCCA
Molecule: long non-coding RNA, 1432 nt
Filed under: Homo sapiens (human)
Lineage: Eukaryota; Metazoa; Chordata; Mammalia; Primates; Hominidae
Description: small nucleolar RNA host gene 17
Source: RNAcentral